Molecule: ribosomal RNA, 252 nt
Filed under: uncultured bacterium
Lineage: Bacteria
Description: partial 16S ribosomal RNA
Rfam family: Bacterial small subunit ribosomal RNA
Source: RNAcentral
ACGGAGGAUCCAAGCGUUAUCCGGAAUCAUUGGGUUUAAAGGGUCCGUAGGCGGGACAAUCAGUCAGCGGUGAAAGUCUGUGGCUCAACCAUAGAAUUGCCAUUGAUACUGUUGUUCUUGAAUACUUAUGAAGUGGUUGGAAUAUGUAGUGUAGCGGUGAAAUGCAUAGAUAUUACAUAGAACACCGAUUGCGAAGGCAGAUCACUAAUAAUUUAUUGACGCUGAUGGACGAAAGCGUAGGUAGCGAACAGG